GAUGAACGCGGGCGGCGUGCUAAUACAUGCAAGUAGACCGCUGAAGCUUGGUGCUUGCACCGAGCGGUGAGUUGCGGACGGGUGAGUAACGCGUAGGUAACCUGCCUCUUAGCGGGGGAUAACUAUGGGAAACGAUAGCUAAUACCGCAUAAAAGUCGAUAUCGCAUGAUAUUGAUUUGAAAGGUGCAAUUGCAUCACUAAGAGAUGGACCUGCGUUGUAUUAGCUAGUUGGUGAGGUAACGGCUCACCAAGGCGACGAUACAUAGCCGACCUGAGAGGGUGAUCGGCCACACUGGGACUGAGACACGGCCCAGACUCCUACGGGAGGCAGCAGUAGGGAAUCUUCGGCAAUGGGGGCAACCCUGACCGAGCAACGCCGCGUGAGUGAAGAAGGUUUUCGGAUCGUAAAGCUCUGUUGUAAGAGAAGAACGAGUGUGAGAGUGGAAAGUUCACACUGUGACGGAACUACCA
This 471-nucleotide ribosomal RNA is filed under the name Streptococcus parasanguinis. RNAcentral's name for it is "bacterial SSU rRNA". It matches the Rfam family "Bacterial small subunit ribosomal RNA", at positions 28 to 485 of the family's 1533-position model. Lineage: Bacteria; Bacillati; Bacillota; Bacilli; Lactobacillales; Streptococcaceae. The record is from RNAcentral.